UACGAGGGGGGCUAGCGUUGUUCGGAAUUAUUGGGCGUAAAGGGCGCGUAGGCGGUUUGUUAAGUCGGUUGUGAAAGCCCGGGGCUCAACCCCGGAGAGUCGACCGAUACUGGCAAACUAGAGUACAGAAGAGGUAGCUGGAAUUCCUGGUGUAGCGGUGAAAUGCGUAGAUAUCAGGAGGAACACCUGAGGCGAAGGCGGGCUACUGGGCUGAUACUGACGCUGAGGCGCGAAAGCCAGGGGAGCAAACGGG
RNAcentral lists this ribosomal RNA (253 nucleotides) under uncultured bacterium. RNAcentral's name for it is "partial 16S ribosomal RNA". It matches the Rfam family "Bacterial small subunit ribosomal RNA", at positions 524 to 776 of the family's 1533-position model. The record is from RNAcentral.